GAAUAGUCUGCUGCCGCUUUUUGGUAGAGCCGGCGAGAUGUAGAUGUAUGCACUAUAGCCGUGGCCUGACAGGUGUCAGCUGCAAUUCAGUUGUUUGCCGCGAGGAGUCGGCUGCCCAUCGUUCCUUCAAGGU
Caenorhabditis elegans is the source of this 133-nucleotide non-coding RNA. Lineage: Eukaryota; Metazoa; Nematoda; Chromadorea; Rhabditida; Rhabditidae. The record is from Ensembl.